RNAcentral lists this ribosomal RNA (442 nucleotides) under uncultured bacterium. RNAcentral's name for it is "partial 16S ribosomal RNA". It matches the Rfam family "Bacterial small subunit ribosomal RNA", at positions 338 to 795 of the family's 1533-position model. The record is from RNAcentral.
CCUACGGGGGGCAGCAGUAGGGAAUCUUUCACAAUGGGCGAAAGCCUGAUGGAGCAACGCCGCGUGCAGGAUGAAGGCCUUCGGGUUGUAAACUGCUUUUAUAAGCGAGAAAUAUGAUGGUAACUUAUGAAUAAGGAUCGGCUAACUACGUGCCAGCAGCCGCGGUCAUACGUAGGAUCCGAGCAUUAUCCGGAGUGACUGGGGGUAAAGAGUUGCGUAGGUGGCAUAAUAAGUAGCUAGGGAAAUCUGGUGGCUCAACCAAUCAGACUAUUAGCUAAACUGUUAAGCUCGAGACCGUUAGGGGUAACUGGAAUUUCUAGUGUAGGAGUGAAAUCCGUAGAUAUUAGAAGGAACACCAAUAGCGUAGGCAGGUUGCUGGGACGGUUCUGACACUAAGGCACGAAAGCGUAGGGAGCAAACGGGAUUAGAUACCCUGGUAGUC